This is a long non-coding RNA of Oncorhynchus tshawytscha (Chinook salmon), 671 nucleotides long. The record is from Ensembl. Lineage: Eukaryota; Metazoa; Chordata; Actinopteri; Salmoniformes; Salmonidae.
GUAAUAACAUGGCUAUAUACAGGGAGUACAUGUACCAAGUUGAUGUGCUGGGGUACGAGGUAAUAACAUGGCUAUAUUCAGGGAGUACAUGUACCAAGUUGAUGUGCUGGGGUAGGAGGUAAUAACAUGGCUAUAUACAGGGAGUACAUGUACCAAGUUGAUGUGCUGGGGUAGGAGGUAAUAACAUGGCUAUAUACAGGGAUUACAUGUACCAAGUUGAUGUGCUGGGGUAGGAGGUAAUAACAUGGCUAUAUUCAGGGAGUACAUGUACCAAGUUGAUGUGCUGGGGUACGAGGUAAUAACAUGUCUAUAUUCAGGGAGUACAUGUACCAAGUUGAUGUGCUGGGGUACGAGGUAAUAACAUGGCUAUAUACAGGGAGUACAUGUACCAAGUUGAUGUGCUGGGGUACGAGGUAAUAACAUGGCUAUAUACAGGGAUUACAUGUACCAAGUCGAUGUGCUGGGGUAGGAGGUAAUAACGUGGCUAUAUACAGGGAUUACAUGUACCAAGUCGAUGUGCUGGGGUAGGAGGUAAUAACAUGGCUAUAUACAGGGAUUACAUGUACCAAGUUGAUGUGCUGGGGUAGGAGGUAAUAACAUGGCUAUAUUCAGGGAGUACAUGUACCAAGUUGAUGUGCUGGGGUACGAGGUAAUAACAUGUCUAUAUUCAG